Cygnus atratus (black swan) is the source of this 1837-nucleotide long non-coding RNA. RefSeq lists it as uncharacterized. The transcript has 6 exons. The record is from RefSeq and is a predicted model, not a curated record. NCBI's taxonomy places the organism in Eukaryota, Metazoa, Chordata, Aves, Anseriformes, Anatidae.
CGUGUGGGGAGCCCUGUGGCAGAGCCUGCGGCCUAAGGGCCUAGGGUGACUGGCUCCCUGACCAGAGGACAAGGAUCAAGCGGCUCCCAGCAUCGCUGGGCUCCCAAGAGUUUGGAUGAGGGAGAAGUGACAAGAUGAUGAUGCCCAACUGUUGAUUUUCCUCCCUGGCAGUCUCUGAACCCUGCACCUGUGAGGAAGAAUCAGAAAAGCAACAUUCUGAGCUGCAUUGAGCCUAAGGGUCAGAGAUCUGGAUGGCCUUGAUGGGGUUAAAGUGAAAAUGAAGAGCAGAGGGAAAGCUGCCCCGAAUCCCUCUCUUCCUGAUGUGGAAAGAGAUCUCUAUUCCUUACUUCCUGAAGGAAAGAAAAUGAUCUGCUGCAGGAAAAUCAAGUUAGCAAGGGUGAGGAUCCAACCCAAACAGAUUGGUUACGACCGCAAAGAUUGUUAGCUCUAGGAUGGAGAAAAUCCUACUCAUGUCCUGUCUUACUCCAUAUGACUGCACUGAAGCCAACUUCAAUUACUGCUGUUGCGAUACUGCCCACUGCACAAUACUUGCACACACGCUGUUCAGAUGCUGCAAGAACCAGGAAAGUUUGGCAAACUCCUGGCCAAGCAGGCUAUCCUUCAAAUUAAAAUAGCCCCUUUUUCACUGUGAGGUUUGAACACAGCCCAGUUUCUCCUGUCAGUUGAUGUGACAUGAGUUUGAAGAUUUUCUAGGUAAAUUAGAUUUUUUAAAAUAAUUGAAAACAUAAAAGCUAAAAUACACAUAAAAAUUGAUUAGGUGUACUAUUAGUUAUUGCACUCUCAUUUUACUAGUGCUACACAUGAAUAGAGGUAAGAAAACAAUCAGAACUGGGGGGAGAUGUCUUGGGCGUAGCUCAGGAGAUCUGGAGACAGACAUCUUUAGGGAAGAAGAGUUGCAAAGAAGGCAUCAAAAUGGGGUUCAGUUGAACCAGUGUUUAAAGCUUUUAGAAAGUGCCUUUUUUUUUAGCAAGGUUUUAAAGUCAGUUAUCCUCACAGAAUUUGUUUUAUGCUUGUCUUGAGGAUGAAGAUAGCAAUAUUUCAUUAUUUAUCUGCCUCUUACCCUCAGUGUAGUCUCUGAAUGUGCAGGCCUCUCCUUGGCCCUGCAUUGGACACAAGAUGGCAGAUCUCUCUCUAUUGACAGGAAACAGGGAAGAGCACUCACCCUCGGUACUGGCUGCUCAGAAAGGGCAGCAAGACAUUACUCCUUGAAAGCAUGAGACAGUACAUUCCCCAACUGGCAGAGACAAUAACAAAGAAGAAAAAAAAUAAAAAUUGUGGAAAAUAGGUUAAUAUUUAGGAAUAACUUUCCCUUGCAGAGAGGGCUUGUGUUAGAUUUUAACUUCCAGAAAUGGAAGAAAAACGAACACUGCUUUUGGAAUUAACUUGGCAAAAUAGUUAGUUCCUGCCUGUCACCCAGACCGCAUGGUGGAGAUUGCCUUCAUGCAGACAGCGGGCUCACUCUUUCCCCAAAAUGGCUCUUUCAUUCUCUUUCAUCCUCUAGUAAAUAUAUCUGUCCAGCGCAACAGGCUUCCAGCACUUUUGAGUUAGAAAAGACAGGAAUUUUAGCACUAAUACAACAACAUCACUUUCUAGAUGAGCAAAAACUGUCUGCAGAAAGGGAAUGUCUGGAAACAGAGGCACAAGACCAGAGAGCCCCUAUCCUACCUUGUCUGAGUUCAGCUGCUGCACUGCUUGAAAGAUAUUUGGGAAAUGGGAAAGUAAAAGUAAGAUUCCAGUCCUGCAAAUACUGUUCAGGUUUCUGACAUGCUUAAACUUAACCACAUGCCUUUGUUUACAAUAAAGGGACCUAAAAUUA